This 483-nucleotide ribosomal RNA is filed under the name uncultured bacterium. RNAcentral describes it as "partial 16S ribosomal RNA". It matches the Rfam family "Bacterial small subunit ribosomal RNA", at positions 30 to 506 of the family's 1533-position model. The record is from RNAcentral.
AGUGAACGCUGGCGGCAGGCCUAACACAUGCAAGUCGAGCGGCAGCGCGGGGGCAACCCUGGCGGCGAGCGGCGGACGGGUGAGGAAUUCGUCGGAAUCUGCCUUUUUGUGGGGGAUAACGUAGGGAAACUUACGCUAAUACCGCAUACGUCCUACGGGAGAAAGUGGGGGACCGCAAGGCCUCACGCAGAAAGAUGAGCCGACGACCGAUUAGCUAGUUGGUGGGGUAAAGGCCCACCAAGGCGACGAUCGGUAGCUGGUCUGAGAGGAUGAUCAGCCACACGGGGACUGGGACACGGCCCAGACCCCAACGGGAGGCAGCAGGGGGGAAUUUUGGAAAAUGGGCGCAAGCCUGAUCCAGCCAUGCCGCGUGUGUGAAGAAGGCCUUCGGGUUGUAAAGCACUUUUGUCCGGAAAGAAAUCCCUGGGGCUAAUACCUUCGGGGGAUGACGGUACCGGAAGAAUAAGCACCGGCUAACUUCGU